GCACGGGUGAGUAAUACAUAGGAACGUGCCUUUGGGAGGGGGAUAACCACAGGAAACUGUGGCUAAUACCGCAUAGUCUUGAAGAAGUAAAGGUGGCCUCUACUUGUAAGCUACCACCCAGAGAUCGGCCUAUGUCCCAUUAGCUUGUUGGUGAGGUAACGGCUCACCAAGGCAACGAUGGGUAGCUGGUCUGAGAGGAUGAUCAGCCACACUGGGACUGAGACACGGCCCAGACUCC
This 238-nucleotide ribosomal RNA is filed under the name uncultured bacterium. Its description in RNAcentral is "partial 16S ribosomal RNA". It matches the Rfam family "Bacterial small subunit ribosomal RNA", at positions 100 to 339 of the family's 1533-position model. The record is from RNAcentral.